CUGACUGGGAAUAAUACACUUCCGGCCACUGUGCAAACGCGACAGCAGAAAGGGAAAGCACACUCACCUCCGUCCGGAGCCGAUAGUUGGUGGUUGGUUUACACGCUGCAGGGGCACCGACGACCAUGGACAGGUGUUGGGUUUCGGCUGCCACGAGGGGUGGCUGGAAACCCCGUUCUUUUUCACGGUGGGGACGAGCUGAACUGCCUCUUUCCACGAAUGGGGCCCUCAAGACAGCUGUAUCAGACGGGUGGAACAAGAGAACAGGAAUCUCAAAGAAAAAUCGUCGAGCAGUCGUGACGUUGUGAAGCAAACUUCUCCACGGAUCCACGGUCGCAAUCAUCCAGAGACAGGAUUCGUGUGUGGAGACCGAUUUGGCUUUUCCGACGACGUUGAUCGACAUCCUGAGAAGAAAACCAGGAAUCUUCGCGUUGUGCUGUAACGCAGUUGCGGAAGUUUGUUCCAUGUCGCUUUUGCCGGAGAAUUGUGUGUUUUUUAUGUUGUCACCGUGGGCUCGAAGAGGCUAGGUAAUGCCUUUUCUACCAAAGACUAUCUAAGGUGAGGAGCGAAACCUGUAAACGAAGUGAGAGCAGCCGGAUCAUUGCAAGAGGGAACUAUCUGGCGCAAUAGCAAUCGAGACAGCCUGCAACGAAGCCGAUGAAGUAUCCAGUUCAUUCACCAAAACUCUUUUAGCCUCCUGCACAGCACAGUCAUUCAGGAACGAACGAUAGCAAGCAGAAUGACCCUGGGGUGGGCCCCCUGUAUGGGCCAGUUCGUCCGCCCGAACGGAGUCGAUGAAGAAACUUCAGUCAGGAGCCUG
RNAcentral lists this long non-coding RNA (820 nucleotides) under Toxoplasma gondii VEG. The record is from RNAcentral. Lineage: Eukaryota; Apicomplexa; Conoidasida; Eucoccidiorida; Sarcocystidae.